CCGUCGCUGGCGGCACGCCUAACACCCUGCAAGUCUCAACGAAAGUAGCAAGUACUUAGUGUGCAGACGGGUGAGAUAACAUGUUAGGUAUCUGCCCUUCUGAGCCGUGGUAAUAACACGAGGCAAACGUUGUAGCUAAUAUCCGGGAUAAGAUCCUAUCUACGUGAGAAAGCUGUUAUGCACCAGUUGGAUGGAGGCCGUAGUCACUUGCAUUGAUGUUUGUCGGGUGUGGGCUAACUGGCCGUACCUAGAGACUGCUGAUUCAGAUAUGCUGAUUUUGUAUCGAGGAUGAUCGAGCCGACGAUUUGGUGCACUUGGACCACACGGGCCCAAAACUCAAUACGGGAGGCAGCAGUGGGGAAUCUUGCACAAUGGAGGAAACUCUGAUGCAGCGAUGCCGCGUGAGUGAAGAAGGCCCUUGGGUUGUAAAGCUCUUUCGUCGGGGAACGAAAAUGACUGUACCCGAAUAAGAAGGUCCGGCUACACUUCGUGCCAGCAGCCGCGGUAAUACGAAGGGACCUAGCGUAGUUCGGAAUUACUGGGCUUAAAGAGUACGUAGGUGGUUGAAAAAGUUAGUGGUGAAAUCCCAGAGCUUAAGCUCUGGAAACUGCCAUUAAAAACUUUUCAGCUAAGAGUAUGAUAGAGGAAAGCAAGAAUUUCAUAGUGUCAGAGGUGAAAUUCGUAGACUCUUCAGACGAAUACCAAUUGCGAAGGCAGCUUUCUGGAUCAUUACUGACCCUGAGGAACCGAAAGCAUGGCU
This 760-nucleotide ribosomal RNA is filed under the name uncultured Alphaproteobacteria bacterium. RNAcentral's name for it is "bacterial SSU rRNA". It matches the Rfam family "Bacterial small subunit ribosomal RNA", at positions 30 to 766 of the family's 1533-position model. The record is from RNAcentral. Lineage: Bacteria; Pseudomonadati; Pseudomonadota; Alphaproteobacteria.